CCUCCUUUCUCGCUCGCCGCCGCCACCACCCACGUCGGCCACUUCUCUGGGGACCUCCAGCGCCGUCCAGCAUGCCCCCGAGCUCCCCACGGUCCACGCCUCCCUCCCCUCCGGCCAGAGUCUCCGCUCCCGUCCUCUACCGCCCGCUCGCAAGCCCAUCCCCCAUGGCUAGGGUUUCGGGUAGGGCUUCGCAGCCGCGUCUCCGGCUGCCCCAGGUUCGUUCCUCGUUCGUUCUUGUUCUCCCUUUAUCUAACUAAUCAUGUUUAGGUUUUUUAGGGGAUAAACAAGGGGAGGUAUAGCAGGGCGUUGGACAUUUGCGGGAGUGGGGGAGAUCGAUGUGGACGAGGACUGUCUGGUGCACUGCUGGUGCGGGGAGGGCAGGGGAGAGGGAUGGCAGCUGCGCUGCUAUUAGCUGGAUAUAGCACUGCUCCUUUCCUGUUGUUUGUUGAUUGAUGCUACUGCUGCUGCUACUUUGAUGCAGUUGCUGCUAAUUUGAUGUGGAGGAUGUGCAGGGACGGACGACGAGCGAGCAGAGGAUUUAUCUGGGACCUAAAUUUGGCAGGUAAAAAUUGGUCUGUUUGCCGCUAGCUGGCUUCAUGUGAUGCUAUAGUGUGCUAUGGAGAGGUACAGAGGUUAUUUUACAGGACCAUGAAGGUUCAUGAUUGGCAAUUGAUCUUGGGCUAUUGGCUUAUUAUGAUCAAAACUGAGAGUAUAUGCGCCACUAUUAGUGGUCUUGCAGAGUUGGAAUGUUAUGCUUCACUGUAAUUGCUUUACUGAAUCUACAGACUAAGAAAAUUUCUAUUUCUUGUGUCAGGCAAAUGGAUGAGCUCUCACAUCCCUCUCGGUCUCCUUUGAUUUGUUGCAGAUUUCUUUGAAGUCCAUGACCUCUCUGUAUGUUGAUUGCACCCAUGUACUAUAUACUUCCAAUUUCUUCUUUAUCGUGUAUAUACCAAUUGUUUUCCUUUACUUUGUGCACAGUGAUUUUGCUCUAGCACUAAUAUAAAUUUUGGAUUCAUAAUUGCAGCCUAUCAUUAAUUUGCCGCAAAACUACAACCAAUGUCAAAAUCCUUAUUUUAGUUAGGACAAAUAACUAUUUAAAAACCCAAAACUAGCUGCAUUCAAUAUUUGAUAGGUUAAUUCCGUCAUUCAGUAUUUGGAGUAGAUGCUACAGUUAUAAUGAAACAGUAGGAUUCCUGUAAUUGUGCACAGCAGCAGCGAGGCGCUCUAAAUUUCAACAUGACACCGAACUUCAAACAGAACGCCUCCAUGGUUAAUGAUGUGCUCUUAGAUUAUUAGUUUCUUUGAAUUUAUCUGCUUCCAUUAGAUUAAGGUUAUAAUGCAAACAUAUAGAUAGAUGUAUCAAUCCAUUCAGACACAGUUUUCUGUUUCCUAGCCUCCAUGUGUAUGUAAUAUUAUUAUUUUGGAAAAGGAUCAUUUAUUAAGGCAACAAGCCAACACAAAUAAGAAAACUUGGCCGCUACAUGUUACUAACUCUAAACUGAAAAGGUUCUAAAUCAACUGACUUGACCGGAGCUCUAUCUUAAAGAUUUGAUCAUAACAGAGUUUGGCAGGUUUCCCCGAAAGAAAAAAGCAGAGUUUGGCAGGUUAGGUGAGACACGUCAUUAGAUUUGUUAUGAGCAUUGCGAUAUCCUACGUUAGACAGGUACGCAAAUUAAUCAAAAUUUUCAUUUAACAUGCAGUAGAAACAAAUAUAUGUAAUUGUCAAUAUCAGUGUGCCGGUGAAGAAACUCAGUCACUGCCAAUGUACUAUUCUCCCAUGCUAAAGCUGAAAAAAACUGCAUGCACAUUUGUUUGUUUCAGCACAAGAAAACAUUCAAAAUUAAUAUACCUAUCGCAUCUCAUGGUGUAUGAUUAACUUGCACUACAUUGUUUCUAUUUCCAAAAUUUAUUAUUCAUGGUCGGUUAUUGUCGUUUUAAUACAAUCAACCUUUUCAAAUAUAUUUGGAUUAUAUUAGGAAACUGCAUCUAUGUGUUUCUGAGUUAGAGCUCCUAACAGGCUACUUCUGCUUCCUUAGUUGCUUCCAUUUUAACUUUAGAUCGUUAUUAAGAUGGACCUCCGAGCCAUAUAGUCCAUAAGGAAGUGUUCAGAUACUUGUAGAUCAUGCAAGUGAAGAGUGGCUUUAAUACUUUUGAGUGGACAUAAAGUAAUUUUAAGAUCAAUAGUUGAUGUUCUCGCUCUUAAAAAAAUACUGACAAUUGAUGCCAACGACCCGAAUGGUCCAACACACAAUAUUUAUUCUUCUUCGUAAAAGAAUUAUGUUUCUAAUUAUUAUAUAGGAGUGCACAUCAAAUGUUUUCAUUUGGUGCAUCAGUUCAAAGCAAGCCAGAAAAAUUAAGUCUUCUAUUUUUGUAGAUCAGAAUCCUAGACGUAGUCAGUUUAUAUCAUUUUUCCGGUACCUCUAUUGUGCAUAUAUUUCUCAAACGAAUUCUGCCAUCGAUUAGGAGUGAAAUCACCAUGACAUUUACAUGCUUUGUCUUCCAUGCUCAGGUCAAUGAUACUUGAAAUUCUUGGGACUUCUUUCGAAUCGAAACAUUACAAGAUAAGCUUAUGGUGACUUUAUGAGGUUUUGGCAUUGGACCGUUUGAAACUUUAGAUUGGCAGAGAGAUAGAGACCCUGUGGGCCUUGGCAGUGGCGAGCUAGGUGCCAGCGAGGUAGGCGACAUCGUCAACGAGGGCCAUCAUGGCCUCCACCUGCGCCCUCUUGCAGGUGGACUGCUGGUCAUCGAUGUGGCGGGUCGGGCUCUUGCAGCAACAUCUAUGAUAUUCUCUGGACGAGCUACAGGUAGGCCAGUAGAUGAGGAUUCGACGACCACCACCGAGGUAUGCCCUCCUCUCCUUGCCCUUGGGCUGGCAUCUCUGAUCAGGCUGUAAUCUGCUGCUGUAGUGUUGCUCUUUGGGGAUUCCUAUGGGGUCUAUUUUUGAUUGGUCAAAGCUGGUAUGUUGGCCACCGGUUGGUUUAACAUGAUGCUAUAAUGCGCUACGGAGAGAUAUGUUAUUCCAAUACAAGCGACCGGUCAGUUAAUUUGAGGAUUUUUGCCUUUUGUUCCUCAGGCCUAUAGCUUUGUGGUUUCAGUCCGACAGUUAAAAGUUGCAUUGGCUUGUAAAAAUUCAUGUGACUGGACCAGUAGGUGAGGAUGAUCUCAUAUGGAAAAUACUGCUCCAUGGUAUUAAAAUCUGUUAUAGGUGUUGGAAGUCAAUGCUAGGAGCUCCUGGGAUGUGCUCAUGCAUGCUUGGUCAGAACUUUUCUUUUGAAUCAAUUGAUGAAUCGAUAGCAUCAGAUAUGUCGUAUGUGUACUCCACUACGUACGACAGGGUGAAAACAAGUUUGAUCGCUGGAGAUGGAUUUCUAUCCUGUUGGUACAAUUGUAUGUUCAGGUGGUUCUUUCAUGUCUGUUCUCUCUAGCUUCUUGAUGUUUUCUUUCUCGGGUGUAAUUUAGUUGCCAUUUGUAAUAGCCAAAUUUUCAUGUCAAACAUGAUUUAAAGAUUUUCUAUGCCAGUUGACA
Molecule: long non-coding RNA, 3525 nt
Organism: Triticum dicoccoides
Lineage: Eukaryota; Viridiplantae; Streptophyta; Magnoliopsida; Poales; Poaceae
Exons: 2
Source: RefSeq, a predicted model, not a curated record